GACGAACCGAGCGAACGUUGUUCGGAAUAACUGGGCUUAAAGGGCGCGUAGGCGGGCUGUCAAGUUUGGGGUGAAAUCCCGCGGCUCAACCGUGGAACUGCCUCAAAUACUGACGGUCUCGAGGGAGGUAGGGGCGAGCGGAACUGAUGGUGGAGCGGUGAAAUGCGUUGAUAUCAUCAGGAACUCCGGUGGCGAAGGCGGCUCGCUGGACCUCUUCUGACGCUGAGGCGCGAAAGCUAGGGGAGCAAACGGG
This 253-nucleotide ribosomal RNA is filed under the name uncultured bacterium. RNAcentral describes it as "partial 16S ribosomal RNA". It matches the Rfam family "Bacterial small subunit ribosomal RNA", at positions 524 to 776 of the family's 1533-position model. The record is from RNAcentral.